UACGGGGGUGGCAAGCGUUGCUCGGAAUCACUGGGCGUAAAGGGCGCGUAGGCGGGGAGGUAAGUCGGGUGUGAAAUCCCUCGGCCCAACCGAGGAACUGCGCCCGAGACUGCUUCUCUUGAGUCCCGGAGAGGAAGAUGGAAUUCCCGGUGUAGCGGUGAAAUGUGUAGAGAUCGGGAGGAACACCGGUGGCGAAGGCGGUCUUCUGGACGGUGACUGACGCUGAGGCGCGAAAGCGUGGGGAGCAAACGGG
Molecule: ribosomal RNA, 253 nt
Filed under: uncultured bacterium
Lineage: Bacteria
Description: partial 16S ribosomal RNA
Rfam family: Bacterial small subunit ribosomal RNA
Source: RNAcentral